GGGGGAGUGGCGGAACUGGCAGACGCGCCGGACUUAAAAUCCGGCGGCCUUCACGGGUCGUGCGGGUUCGAUCCCCGCCUCCCUCA
RNAcentral lists this transfer RNA (86 nucleotides) under Nitrospira sp. Its description in RNAcentral is "tRNA-Leu". It matches the Rfam family "tRNA". From Rfam's summary of the family: Transfer RNA (tRNA) molecules are approximately 80 nucleotides in length. Their secondary structure includes four short double-helical elements and three loops (D, anti-codon, and T loops). Further hydrogen bonds mediate the characteristic L-shaped molecular structure. tRNAs have two regions of fundamental functional importance: the anti-codon, which is responsible for specific mRNA codon recognition, and the 3' end, to which the tRNAs corresponding amino acid is attached (by aminoacyl-tRNA synthetases). tRNAs cope with the degeneracy of the genetic code in two manners: having more than one tRNA (with a specific anti-codon) for a particular amino acid; and 'wobble' base-pairing, i.e. permitting non-standard base-pairing at the 3rd anti-codon position. The record is from RNAcentral. Lineage: Bacteria; Pseudomonadati; Nitrospirota; Nitrospiria; Nitrospirales; Nitrospiraceae. RNAcentral also lists the same sequence under 1 other name.